RNAcentral lists this ribosomal RNA (253 nucleotides) under uncultured bacterium. Its description in RNAcentral is "partial 16S ribosomal RNA". It matches the Rfam family "Bacterial small subunit ribosomal RNA", at positions 524 to 776 of the family's 1533-position model. The record is from RNAcentral.
UACGUAGGGGGCUAGCGUUGUCCGGAAUCAUUGGGCGUAAAGCGCGUGUAGGCGGUUCGGUAAGUCCGCUGUGAAAGUCGGGGGCUCAACCCUCGGAUGCCGGUGGAUACUGUCGGACUAGAGUACGGAAGAGGCGAGUGGAAUUCCUGGUGUAGCGGUGAAAUGCGCAGAUAUCAGGAGGAACACCGGUGGUGAAAACGAGUCUCUGGUCCGCUUCUGACGCUCAGGUGCGAAAGCUAGGGGAGCAAACGGG